AUGUGUGCCGGGCACAGUCAGCGCCCCGAGAUGCGCUCAGCCUUUCCCAGGGCGGCGGCUGAGCACAGAGCUCAGACCCAGCGCUGCACCCACAGCCGCACCUCUGCCCAGGGAGCGCUGCGGGGCCGCUGGCUGACGCCCGGGUUGCAGCGGCGUGGGGGAGGCCAGGACAGCGCUCCGGGUUCAGCCGGGAGCCGGUAUCUGUGCGCACGUGUGCCCGAAUCGCGGCUCCCGGAGCAUCCCGGGGUGAUGCGGUUGGCUCGGAGAGACCUGCGGAGAAACACGGGCCGUGAAAGCGCUGGGAUGGAGCCGCUGCGAUGCCCUCGGCCAGCUCAGCCCACCUGCCCCAUCCCUGCUGCUGCUGGACCAGGGCCAGCCGCCUUCCCCUGAGGGCAUCUGAAGGAAGCUGGCGACAGAAGCGUCACUUUUAAGAUGACACGAACGGACCCACCUGACAUCCUGGUGUCUACGGUGUACCAAGACAUAAAGGUGGCCUCCGCAGCCCCUGGGGAUUCCAUUGUCCGCCAGCCCCCAGCGCGAUGUGACGCCUCCAUGUCCUCCUCUCUGCCCCGCGACCCGCAGCCCUUCAACAAACGCCACUGCCGGAGCUUCGACUUCCUCGAGUCGCUGGACGA
RNAcentral lists this long non-coding RNA (635 nucleotides) under Meleagris gallopavo (turkey). RNAcentral's name for it is "lncRNA (ENSMGAG00000019807.1)". Lineage: Eukaryota; Metazoa; Chordata; Aves; Galliformes; Phasianidae. The record is from RNAcentral.